Molecule: ribosomal RNA, 439 nt
Filed under: uncultured bacterium
Lineage: Bacteria
Description: partial 16S ribosomal RNA
Rfam family: Bacterial small subunit ribosomal RNA
Source: RNAcentral
CUACGGGGCGCAGCAGUGGGGAAUAUUGCACAAUGGACGAAAGUCUGAUGCAGCAACGCCGCGUGGAGGAUGACACAUUUCGGUGCGUAAACUCCUUUUAUAAGAGAAGAUAAUGACGGUAUCUUAUGAAUAAGCUCCGGCUAACUCCGUGCCAGCAGCCGCGGUAAUACGGGGGGAGCAAGCGUUACUCGGAAUUACUGGGCGUAAAGCGCAUGUAGGCGGACUUGUAAGUUGGAAGUGAAAUCCUAUGGCUUAACCAUAGAACUGCUUCCAAAACUACUUGUCUAGAAUGUGGGAGAGGUAGAUGGAAUUUCUGGUGUAGGGGUAAAAUCCGUAGAGAUCAGAAGGAAUACCGAUUGCGAAGGCGAUCUACUGGAACAAUAUUGACGCUGAGAUGCGAAAGCGUGGGGAGCAAACAGGAUUAGAUACCCCUGUAGUC